UGCCUCAGAUGAAUAUUCCUGAAACAGAACAGGAUGGACUUGCUAAAACCAAAUCACGCACUCAUCCUGCACCGACGGAGGGGGAAGUCGGGGACCCCGCACAUGCAGGCAGCGCUCAACCAUCAGGAAAUACUCUUUUCACCCAGACAGAGGGCUCAAACUGGGGACCUUCUUGCUGUGAGACAACAGUGCCAACCACUGAGCCACUGUGCCGCCCCGAAGACUGAAUUCAGCUUUGGAAUCAUAGGAAUAAAUCACAUUUUAAAAUAUAAAACAGUUAUUUUAACUUAUAUAAUAAUAUUUAAAAUAUUUAAGAUAUUAUUUUCUAUCAGUAAUCUAAAAGUUUACAGAUAGGAGAAAUAAAGAU
This is a long non-coding RNA of Cyprinus carpio carpio, 367 nucleotides long. Lineage: Eukaryota; Metazoa; Chordata; Actinopteri; Cypriniformes; Cyprinidae. The record is from Ensembl.